This 253-nucleotide ribosomal RNA is filed under the name uncultured bacterium. Its description in RNAcentral is "partial 16S ribosomal RNA". It matches the Rfam family "Bacterial small subunit ribosomal RNA", at positions 524 to 776 of the family's 1533-position model. The record is from RNAcentral.
UACGAGUGCCUCGAGCGUUAUCCGGAAUCAUUGGGCGUAAAGGGUGCGUAGGUGGUCAUGUUAGUCUCUCGUUAAAUUUUGCGGCUUAACCGUAAACCUGCGAGGGAAACGGCAUGACUUGAGGGUGCAAGGGGUCUCUGGAACUCUAAGUGUAGCGGUGAAAUGCGUUGAUAUUUAGGGGAACACCAAAAGCGAAGGCAGGAGACUGGGGCACACCUGACACUGAGGCACGAAAGCGUGGGUAGCGAAUGGG